Long non-coding RNA from Corapipo altera (White-ruffed manakin), 1216 nucleotides. RefSeq lists it as uncharacterized. The record is from RefSeq and is a predicted model, not a curated record. NCBI's taxonomy places the organism in Eukaryota, Metazoa, Chordata, Aves, Passeriformes, Pipridae. The transcript has 4 exons.
CUUUUCAUCCUGAAGUUUUCAGGUGGGUUGUAGAAAGUGAGCUGAUCUCCAAGGAGGUGGUUUGAGCACUCCAGAAGCUUUAGAAAAUUGCUGCUGGUUUUUUUAAGUAGCCCAAAGAUGAUGUGACAUGAAAUACAGGACUCUGUGUCAGUCAUGCUCACGGCCUUGCCAGUGAACCCCCUUGAGUGCUGCAGUUUUUAGACAACCCUUGCACACAGUUUCUGUCAGGUGAUAGAACAGUGUUAUCACCUUGGGUGGAGAGCACAUCCAGAAGGAAACAGAGUUUUUUCUGGUUGUCAGGAGGGUACUCAGAUUAAUGGAUUUUUCUGCAUUCAAGUGUUACUUUUCACUGUUGCUGAGAGUUCAAAGAAACAAAGUCAAGCUACCAGCAGGACAUUUUAGAUGACAGUAGCCUUCCCCCACCCUCCCAGCCUCCUAAUUCCAGCCAAUCUGGUUCUGUGUGAGGAGGAUGAAGUGGUGUUAAGCACUUUUUUUAUGGAACUUCAUCUUGUGAAUCAACUGGUGCUGAGACUUGUCACCCAACAGUCCAGUUAUCUUGAGAUGGAGAACCACAGUCCGUCCUCACCUACCUUGUCACAUGAGCAGGUGCUUUUUGUGGAUGCAUGUUAUGGCACUUUAAAAAUACUUCAGCUAGGUGGAGAGAUAGGGGAGCAUGGCCUCUCUCUAGUCUUUGCCUGUCCUAACCUUUGGAGUGGAAAGAUUAUUCAGAUAAAACUUAUACUGCACCUUGAGAAGAAGUGUUUUAAUGGUGAUAAGGGAAAGAGAGGCAGGGUAGAGCAUGGUGAAGAGCAAAGCUAGUAACACUGUCAUAACUGCAGAUCCAUUAGUGUUCACUUGGAAUUAUAUGCAUUUAGGAUUUGAGUGCUGUUGUGGUGUUAUCUUAAAAAAAAAAGAAAAAAGAAGGUUAAGAAAAUGAAGUCUGAAUUCUGCUGGUUCUUCCUCAAAGUUCUUCCCCAUUUCCUUUUCCACUUCUGUGUAAUUCAGAUUGCAUUUGAGUCAGCUGCUUUCAUUUGACACUUAUGUCAUUCAAGCAUCCCCAAAGUUAGCAUGUUAAUAUCUGCAUUUCAGCUGACUGAUAGGUACACCAAAACCUAUCUUAAUUUUGUCACUGCAACAUGAAGCUUCUUUUAAUUUCCCAAGUUGUUCAGCAUUUACUGAACAAGAUAAUGGAAUGAGAUCGGAAGAGCACAGUCUG